UUAAUUGAAGAGUUUGAUCAUGGCUCAGAUUGAACGCUGGCGGCAGGCUUAACACAUGCAAGUCGAGCGGUAGCACAAGAGAGCUUGCUCUCUGGGUGACGAGCGGCGGACGGGUGAGUAAUGUCUGGGAAACUGCCUGAUGGAGGGGGAUAACUACUGGAAACGGUAGCUAAUACCGCAUAAUGUCGCAAGACCAAAGAGGGGGACCUUCGGGCCUCUUGCCAUCAGAUGUGCCCAGAUGGGAUUAGCUAGUAGGUGGGGUAAUGGCUCACCUAGGCGACGAUCCCUAGCUGGUCUGAGAGGAUGACCAGCCACACUGGAACUGAGACACGGUCCAGACUCCUACGGGAGGCAGCAGUGGGGAAUAUUGCACAAUGGGCGCAAGCCUGAUGCAGCCAUGCCGCGUGUGUGAAGAAGGCCUUCGGGUUGUAAAGCACUUUCAGCGAGGAGGAAGGUGGUGAGCUUAAUACGCUCAUCAAUUGACGUUACUCGCAGAAGAAGCACCGGCUAACUCCGUGCCAGCAGCCGCGGUAAUACGGAGGGUGCAAGCGUUAAUCGGAAUUACUGGGCGUAAAGCGCACGCAGGCGGUUUGUUAAGUCAGAUGUGAAAUCCCCGGGCUCAACCUGGGAACUGCAUUUGAAACUGGCAAGCUAGAGUCUCGUAGAGGGGGGUAGAAUUCCAGGUGUAGCGGUGAAAUGCGUAGAGAUCUGGAGGAAUACCGGUGGCGAAGGCGGCCCCCUGGACGAAGACUGACGCUCAGGUGCGAAAGCGUGGGGAGCAAACAGGAUUAGAUACCCUGGUAGUCCACGCUGUAAACGAUGUCGAUUUGGAGGUUGUGCCCUUGAGGCGUGGCUUCCGGAGCUAACGCGUUAAAUCGACCGCCUGGGGAGUACGGCCGCAAGGUUAAAACUCAAAUGAAUUGACGGGGGCCCGCACAAGCGGUGGAGCAUGUGGUUUAAUUCGAUGCAACGCGAAGAACCUUACCUACUCUUGACAUCCAGAGAACUUUCCAGAGAUGGAUUGGUGCCUUCGGGAACUCUGAGACAGGUGCUGCAUGGCUGUCGUCAGCUCGUGUUGUGAAAUGUUGGGUUAAGUCCCGCAACGAGCGCAACCCUUAUCCUUUGUUGCCAGCGGUUCGGCCGGGAACUCAAAGGAGACUGCCAGUGAUAAACUGGAGGAAGGUGGGGAUGACGUCAAGUCAUCAUGGCCCUUACGAGUAGGGCUACACACGUGCUACAAUGGCAUAUACAAAGAGAAGCGACCUCGCGAGAGCAAGCGGACCUCAUAAAGUAUGUCGUAGUCCGGAUUGGAGUCUGCAACUCGACUCCAUGAAGUCGGAAUCGCUAGUAAUCGUAGAUCAGAAUGCUACGGUGAAUACGUUCCCGGGCCUUGUACACACCGCCCGUCACACCAUGGGAGUGGGUUGCAAAAGAAGUAGGUAGCUUAACCUUCGGGAGGGCGCUUACCACUUUGUGAUUCAUGACUGGGGUGAAGUCGUAACAAGGUAACCGUAGGGGAACCUGCGGUUGGAUCACCUCCUUACCUAAAGA
This 1551-nucleotide ribosomal RNA is filed under the name Serratia marcescens. RNAcentral's name for it is "bacterial SSU rRNA". It matches the Rfam family "Bacterial small subunit ribosomal RNA". The record is from RNAcentral. Lineage: Bacteria; Pseudomonadati; Pseudomonadota; Gammaproteobacteria; Enterobacterales; Yersiniaceae.